RNAcentral lists this ribosomal RNA (421 nucleotides) under uncultured Bacteroides sp. Its description in RNAcentral is "bacterial SSU rRNA". It matches the Rfam family "Bacterial small subunit ribosomal RNA", at positions 356 to 774 of the family's 1533-position model. Lineage: Bacteria; Pseudomonadati; Bacteroidota; Bacteroidia; Bacteroidales; Bacteroidaceae. The record is from RNAcentral.
GAGGAAUAUUGGUCAAUGGGCGCGAGCCUGAACCAGCCAAGUAGCGUGAAGGAUGACUGGCCUCUGGGUUGUAAAAUUCUUUUUUUAGGGGAAAAAAUGAGGCGCGGGGGGCUUAUUGUAUUUUCCUUUGGAAUAAGCAUCGGCUCACUCCGUGCCAGCAGCCGCGGUAAUACGGAGGAUGCAAGCGUUAUCCGGAUUUAUUGGGUUUAAAGGGAGCGUAGGCGGACUAUUAAGUCAGCUGUGAAAGUUUACGGCUCAACCGUGAAAUUGCAGUUGAAACUGGUCGUCUUGAGUGCAGUAAAGGUGGGCGGAAUUCGUGGUGUAGCGGUGAAAUGCUUAGAUAUCACGAAGAACUCCAAUUGCGAAGGCAGCUCACUGGAGUGUAACUGACGCUGAUGCUCGAAAGUGUGGGUAUCAAACA